RNAcentral lists this ribosomal RNA (413 nucleotides) under uncultured microorganism. RNAcentral's name for it is "bacterial SSU rRNA". It matches the Rfam family "Bacterial small subunit ribosomal RNA", at positions 9 to 420 of the family's 1533-position model. The record is from RNAcentral.
GAGUUUGAUCAUGGCUCAGAGUGAACGCUGGCGGUAGGCCUAACACAUGCAAGUCGAACGGCAGCACAGAGGAGCUUGCUCCUUGGGUGGCGAGUGGCGGACGGGUGAGGAAUACAUCGGAAUCUACUCUGUCGUGGGGGAUAACGUAGGGAAACUUACGCUAAUACCGCAUACGACCUACGGGUGAAAGCAGGGGAUCUUCGGACCUUGCGCGAUUGAAUGAGCCGAUGUCGGAUUAGCUAGUUGGCGGGUAAAGGCCCACCAAGGCGACGAUCCGUAGCUGGUCUGAGAGGAUGAUCAGCCACACUGGAACUGAGACACGGUCCAGACUCCUACGGGAGGCAGCAGUGGGGAAUAUUGGACAAUGGGCGCAAGCCUGAUCCAGCCAUACCGCGUGGUGAAGAAGGCCUCGG